UAGUAAACAUAAAUUAUUCGUCGUACUUUUGUGUACGGAUGUGUCUGUCCGUCGUUGUCAUCGGAAAUCUGACGUUUAAACAAUUCAAGAUUUAAUCUCCAGAACCCAAAAUAUCUAAAGCAGAAAGUAUAUUGUCACAAUAUAACUUUUUAAUUCUAAGUUCUGCAUCUGUGAGAUCUGUAGUAAUACGAAUUACAUUUCAUUAUAGCAUACACAUUAUUGUGCAAUAUAAAGGGUCUCUGCCAAAAUAGGAGAUUAUACGAUACUUGACAUCCAACGUAAUGUAAUUAGUGGCGGGUACCAAUCUCGAUAAUACUGUUUCUAUAA
Long non-coding RNA from Wasmannia auropunctata (little fire ant), 327 nucleotides. RefSeq lists it as uncharacterized. The transcript is spliced from 3 exons. The record is from RefSeq and is a predicted model, not a curated record. NCBI's taxonomy places the organism in Eukaryota, Metazoa, Arthropoda, Insecta, Hymenoptera, Formicidae.